GCUGAAAAUCUAGCCCCACAUCUUCUUAUGAUCAACUUACACCUAACUUUUUCCACUAAAACAUUUUAUUAUUUAAGUAAAGGCGAUCGAAAAAUUAACAAGAGCGAUAAAUAUUGUACCGUAAGGGAAAGAUGAAAUAAUAUGAAACAUUUUAAGCACAAAAAAGUAGAGAUUUAAUCUCGUACCUUUUGCAUCAUGAUUUAACUAGUUUACCCAGGCAAAACGAAUUUAAGUUUGGCCCCCCGAAACUAAGCGAGCUACUUCAAGGCAGUUUUAUGAACUCAUCCGUCUCUGUUGCAAAAGAGUGGAAAGACCUUCAAGUAGGGGUGACAGACCUAACGAGCCUAGUGAUAGCUGGUUACUCAAGAAAAGGAUUUUAGUCCUCCCUAACGUCUAUUAGAUAUCACAAAAUAAAAUUUAGACUUUAGAGUUAUUCAAUUAAGGUACAGCCUAUUUGAAUCAGGAUACAACCUCAACUAAUGGGUAAGCUCAAUUUUCUUGUAUCUAAGUGGGCCUAAGAGCAGCCACCUAUAAAAUAGCGUCAAAGCUUAACUACAUUUUUCUUUAAUACCUAUAUUUAUUACCAACCCUUUACUUGUAAUGAGUACUUCCAUAUUUUUUAUGGAACUUAUUAUGUUAAAACUAGUAACAAGAAUUAGAUUUUCUCUUUAAUGCAAGUGUAUAUCAGAAAGGACACUCCACUGACUAUUAACAUCCAUGAAUUUAGGGUAGUAACCAAACAAGAAAACUCUACCUUCCCCAUUGUUAAUCUAACACAAGAGCAUUUCAAGAAAGAUUAAAAGGAAAAGAAGGAACUCGGCAAAUAUUAACCUCGCCUGUUUACCAAAAACAUCGCCUCUUGCAUCUCUAUAAGAGGUCCAGCCUGCCCAGUGACCCAGUUCAACGGCCGCGGUAUCCUAACCGUGCGAAGGUAGCGUAAUCACUUGUUCUUUAAAUGAGGACUAGUAUGAAUGGCACCACGAGGGUUUUACUGUCUCCUUUUUCUAAUCAGUGAAACUAAUCUUCCCGUGAAGAAGCGGGAAUUUUAUUAUAAGACGAGAAGACCCUAUGGAGCUUUAAAUAUAUGACAAAUGCUUCUUUUUUACUACAUCCAGAUAAUUAAUUAUUAAUUUAGCAUUUUGACCUAUAAAUUUUAGGUUGGGGUGACCAUGGAGCAAAAGUUAACCUCCACAUUGAAAAAACCUCAUUUUUAAGCUAAAAGUUACCGCUUUAAGCAUCAAUAUAUUGACAUUAAUUGACCCAUAAUUUGAUCAAUGAACCAAGUUACCCUAGGGAUAACAGCGCAAUCUACUUCAAGAGCUCUUAUCGACAAGUGGGUUUACGACCUCGAUGUUGGAUCAGGGUAUCCUAGUGGUGUAGCCGCUACUAAAGGUUCGUUUGUUCAACGAUUAAAACCCUACGUGAUCUGAGUUCAGACCGGAGUAAUCCAGGUCAGUUUCUAUCUAUAAGGAGCUUCUUCUAGUACGAAAGGACCGAAAAAGCAUGGCCCAUUUUUUAUCAAGCCAUUAAUAUUAAUUUAUGAUUUCAACUUAAUUAGUAAUUAAC
Molecule: ribosomal RNA, 1566 nt
Filed under: Crossodactylus schmidti (Schmidt's spinythumb frog)
Lineage: Eukaryota; Metazoa; Chordata; Amphibia; Anura; Hylodidae
Description: 16S ribosomal RNA
Rfam family: Bacterial large subunit ribosomal RNA
Source: RNAcentral